Molecule: long non-coding RNA, 444 nt
Filed under: Sus scrofa (pig)
Lineage: Eukaryota; Metazoa; Chordata; Mammalia; Artiodactyla; Suidae
Description: lncRNA (ENSSSCG00070024814.1)
Source: RNAcentral
AUGCUCAUCAAUGAAUUUUCCCUCUGCGUCUUGAAAGUUGGAGGAGAAAGAAAAUCGCUUUCUAUUUCCGAAGAUGCUGGUGUUCCCCAUCCUGCUGUUCUCACUUCUCCAGGACCGAGGCCCCGUGGAGGGAACCAAGAUCCUAGACCAUCCCUUAGACAUGAACUGGUUCAUACCUUGCCAGCUGCAUCUCCCUUGCUUCUUCCAGGACAGAGUGGGUUGAAAGAGCCAGCAGGAACUGAAAAGCAUUGUAAACUAAGGAGGAAAAGUAACAAAGAGCUUGAAGACUUUCAUGGAGCCCAGGCCCUGGACGGAGGCAGGCGACAUCAGAGAACCAAGAAAGCUGAGGGGCAGCCAGGAGGCACCUGUGGCUGCAGAGCCCAGGUAGGUACUGGGAAGAGGAAGAUGGACAGGCCGGGGGGCAGAGAGGCACAGAGCCCCUGA